Molecule: ribosomal RNA, 375 nt
Filed under: uncultured bacterium
Lineage: Bacteria
Description: bacterial SSU rRNA
Rfam family: Bacterial small subunit ribosomal RNA
Source: RNAcentral
GUAGGGGGCGAGCGUUGUCCGGAUUUAUUGGGCGUAAAGAGCUCGUAGGCGGUUCGGUAAGUCGGGUGUGAAAACUCUGGGCUCAACUCAGAGACGCCACCCGAUACUGCUGUGACUUGAGUCCGGUAGGGGAGUGUGGAAUUCCCGGUGUAGCGGUGAAAUGCGCAGAUAUCGGGAGGAACACCAGUGGCGAAGGCGGCACUCUGGGCCGGAACUGACGCUGAGGAGCGAAAGCGUGGGUAGCGAACAGGAUUAGAUACCCUGGUAGUCCACGCCGUAAACGUUGGGCACUAGGUGUGGGUCUCAACCAACGGGAUCCGUGCCGCAGCUAACGCAUUAAGUGCCCCGCCUGGGGAGUACGGCCGCAAGGCUAAA